Non-coding RNA from Ceratotherium simum simum (southern white rhinoceros), 1196 nucleotides. Lineage: Eukaryota; Metazoa; Chordata; Mammalia; Perissodactyla; Rhinocerotidae. The record is from RefSeq and is a predicted model, not a curated record.
AUAAUGCAGUUGUCACGUCGGCCAUCUUUGCUCCAAACCCAAGUUUGAUGUUGUCUUUGGAUGUGCAAUCUGAGAAAUCAGAAGGGAAUGAUAAAGGCGAAGAUGCUGAAGUUUUGGAUACCAUGCCCUCUGGUAUUAUGAAGACAGAUAACACAGAAGUUCUUCUCUCUGCUGACUUCACUGGAGCAAUCAAAGUGUUUAUUAACAAAAGGAAAAAUGUAUCUUAAUUUGAAAUGACAUUUAAAAUAAACAUAUCAGUAAGUUUAUAUAUGUAUCAGAACUGAAAAAAAUACUAUAAUGUUUCAGGCUAACAUCCUUUUUUUAAUUUUUAUUGGAAGUUGUUCAAAUAUAAUAUAUUUUUCGAGAGGCAGUGUUAAUGAUCUAGUAAACCCUGGACUGAUAGACUAGAAAGGAAUGUGGCUAGAAUAACAUUGCCAAACAUUAGGCUUUAUGUUUUGUUAUGUUUGUGUUUUUGUUAUAUAAUUGUGAACCUGCACAGGUUUAUGCAUGAAAAAUAUAUUAAUAUAUUAAUCACAUGUGUGUGCCUUUUGGUUACAUGCACUAAAUCUAACAGAGUUAAAUUAUUUCAGUGACUCUUUUGGCCUCUUAUUUGGGAGGAGUCUUGUUUGUAGCUUAAACAAUUUCUUUUGCACAAAAUUUCAUUUAUAAGGAAAGUGGUGUCUUUUGACUGAGUUAUUGUUUUGAAAAUGUUAUAUAGGUUUUCAGUAGGUCAACAACCAUGUGUAAAUGGUUUUUAUAAAUUUCUCAAUUUGGGGACAAGAUUUUUUUUUUGUGGUCUAAAUUGUGGACUUAAGAUUCUUUUCUUUGUAUGUGUAUAUAUAAUUUCCUUUUUUUUCCACACUGGAGCACAAUGUUUCUAUGUAAAGAAUUCUUUUCAUUCUUUAUCCAUGAGCACCAGGCUUUGCUCACUUAAAAUUAAGCCGCAUUAAGGAGUGAGUCUUCUUUUUUACAAUAAUGUAAAAAUGAACUGUUUACAUUUUUUUAAAGCAUUGUAGUUUUAAAAAUUAAGCUGUUUUGUUUUGUGUUGUUGAAUUUGAAAGCUUCUGUAAAUAUUGAUAUAAUGUACCAAUGAAAUAACAUCUGGGGCAAUGGAACCCUGAUCAUGUUGUUGAUGGUUAGCAUAUGAUUCUGAAAGUUAAAUAUGUAUUAUUAAAACUUGGUCGCCAACACUUGUU